GUAGCCGUGACUACGAGGACUCUGUGGAGCAGCAGGGGAGGGGGCGUGUCCAGGAGGACACUCGCCGUCGCCAGGAGCAACUUUCGCCUCAACCCCUCCCGCCGACUCCCCACAGGCCCCUCCCACUCAACAGGCCACACCCUCGGCCGCAGCAGAACGCCAUGGACCAGCAGAGGGAGCUGGCGAGACGCCGCGAGCAGGAAAGGAGGAGGAGAGAGGUGGUAAUACUUUAUAGCAGUAAUACUACUAUAAUACUAACAUGUUAUACUAGUAUAGCAGGAGAGAGGUGGCAAUACUUUAUAGCAGUAAUACUACUAUAAUACUAACAUGUUAUACUAGUAUAGUAGGAGAGAGGCGGUAAUACUACUAUAAUACUAACAUGUUAUACUAGUAUAGCAGGAGCGAGGCGGUAAUACUUUAUAGCAGUAAUACUACUAUAAUACUAACAUAAAAUACUAGUUUAGCAGGAGAGAGGCGGUAAUACUUUAUAGCAGUAAUACUACUAUAAUACUAACAUGUUAUACUAGUAUAGUAGGAGAGAGGCGGUAAUACUUUAUAGCAGUGAUACUACUAUAAUACUAACAUGUUAUACUAGUAUAGCAGGAGAGAGGCGGUAAUACUGUAUAGCAGUAAUACUACUAUAAUACUAACAUAAUAUACUUUUCUAGCAGAAGAGAGGUGGUAAUACUUUAUAGCAGUUAUACUACUAUAAUACUAACAUAAUAUACU
Molecule: long non-coding RNA, 729 nt
Filed under: Salmo salar (Atlantic salmon)
Lineage: Eukaryota; Metazoa; Chordata; Actinopteri; Salmoniformes; Salmonidae
Description: lncRNA (ENSSSAG00000112395.1)
Source: RNAcentral